AUGAACGCUGGCGGCGUGCCUAAUACAUGCAAGUCGAGCGAACAGAUGAGGAGCUUGCUCCUCUGACGUUAGCGGCGGACGGGUGAGUAACACGUGGAUAACCUACCUAUAAGACUGGGAUAACUUCGGGAAACCGGAGCUAAUACCGGAUAAUAUAUUGAACCGCAUGGUUCAAUAGUGAAAGACGGUUUUGCUGUCACUUAUAGAUGGAUCCGCGCCGCAUUAGCUAGUUGGUAAGGUAACGGCUUACCAAGGCAACGAUGCGUAGCCGACCUGAGAGGGUGAUGGGCCACACUGGAACUGAGACACGGUCCAGACUCCUACGGGAGGCAGCAGUAGGGAAUCUUCCGCAAUGGGCGAAAGCCUGACGGAGCAACGCCGCGUGAGUGAUGAAGGUCUUCGGAUCGUAAAACUCUGUUAUUAGGGAAGAACAAAUGUGUAAGUAACUAUGCACGUCUUGACGGUACCUAAUCAGAAAGCCACGGCUAACUACGUG
This 496-nucleotide ribosomal RNA is filed under the name uncultured bacterium. RNAcentral's name for it is "partial 16S ribosomal RNA". It matches the Rfam family "Bacterial small subunit ribosomal RNA", at positions 29 to 507 of the family's 1533-position model. The record is from RNAcentral.